This 379-nucleotide long non-coding RNA is filed under the name Mytilus galloprovincialis (Mediterranean mussel). The record is from RNAcentral. Lineage: Eukaryota; Metazoa; Mollusca; Bivalvia; Mytilida; Mytilidae.
AAAAUAUAUACAUGUACAUCUCACAAAACAAUUAUAAAAUAUAACCUUUUUUGCACUAAAUACUUGUAACUUUUUUUCACUUUUGAUAUAAGCACUAUUUACAUAUCAGACUUAAACUGGUAAAAACAGAUGAAAACAUCUUUUGUCUCAACACAUAAUAAUAUUACACAUGUACAUUGAAGUCAUGCACAACAUGCACAUAGGAAGUUUUUAAACACACAUUGUAAAUUUAACCAAAAAUUUGCAUAUAGGAUGCAUUUUAAAAACAAUAUAUACACUUUCGUAGACUAGCAAGAGCACUAUUUACAAGAUGUCUUCUCAAAACAAUAUAUAACACAUUUUUGUAGACAAGCAAGAGCACUAUUUACAAGAUUGAAAU